RNAcentral lists this ribosomal RNA (449 nucleotides) under uncultured bacterium Riz1036. RNAcentral describes it as "bacterial SSU rRNA". It matches the Rfam family "Bacterial small subunit ribosomal RNA", at positions 8 to 451 of the family's 1533-position model. The record is from RNAcentral.
AGAGUUUGAUCCUGGCUCAGAAUCAACGCUGGCGGCGUGCCUCAGACAUGCAAGUCGAACGAUUAAGACUUCCUUCGGGAAGUGCAUAAAGUGGCGCACGGGUGAGUAACACGUAAGUAAUCUACCUUNGAGUGGGGAAUAACGUCCGGAAACGGACGCUAAUACCGCAUAAUGCAGCGGCAUCGCGAGAUGACAGUUGUUAAAGGAGCAAUUCGCUUGAAGAGGAGCUUGCGGCAGAUUAGCUAGUUGGUAAGGUAAUGGCUUACCAAGGCUACGAUCUGUAACCGGUCUAAGAGGACGGUCGGUCACACUGACACUGAAUAACGGGUCAGACUCCUACGGGAGGCAGCAGUCGGGAAUUUUGGACAAUGGGGGAAACCCUGACCCAGCAACGCCGCGUGAAGGAUGAAGUUUUUCGGAAUGUAAACUUNGAAAGAAUGGGCCGAAUU